This 416-nucleotide long non-coding RNA is filed under the name Pan paniscus (pygmy chimpanzee). Its description in RNAcentral is "lncRNA (ENSPPAG00000044760.1)". Lineage: Eukaryota; Metazoa; Chordata; Mammalia; Primates; Hominidae. The record is from RNAcentral.
UAGCUGACUUAUAAAAUUUAAGGUUGUUUGGGGGACAGUAUCAAUACAACCUGUGAGCAUAUCUGGUACAUAGAACAUGUUCAAUAAAUAUUUGCUUUGAACUAAAGGCUCACUGAGCAGAACCCAAAUCUAGCCUGCAGCUGGAGGGAGAAGCCCUCCUCUUGGCUUUAUGACAAGAUCAGGUGAUGCUCAUGACUUCAAUACAUGGACUGGCCACUAAACCAGGAUUAAGGCCACCUACUAAAGGGUUAGGGUGGUAUGGUGCCACCCCAAAACAGGAACCAGGCUGAGGACGCAGCAAGCUUGGUGUGAUGCCAGAAACACAAGAGAGCAAGUGGAAGCCUCGCAUACCUCUUAAGUCCUAGUUUGAAACAGGUACGUUUUUAUCUCUGCCCACAUUCCUUUUGUCUAUAAAA